Molecule: unclassified non-coding RNA, 1619 nt
Filed under: Leishmania donovani
Lineage: Eukaryota; Euglenozoa; Kinetoplastea; Trypanosomatida; Trypanosomatidae
Description: gene:LdHU3.21.2340(CDS-product:hypothetical_prote in_conserved)
Source: RNAcentral
ACGCGAACUGGCGCCGUUUGAGGACAUCGGACUUUGACCUGCAUGCCUUUAGUGAGCAUCUUUGGCUUGCGCCUUCUCCUCAGCGCUUCACUCUGCUUGCGCAGGCAGACGACACGGAGGCGAACGCACAAGCAGGCGACACUCUUCUUUCUCCUUCGCUCACAACAAGCACGUUCCCGUGCGGGCAAGGAGCUUCACUAAGGGAUUCCCGGAGCAGCAGUGGUUCUACCUUCCUUGCCCCUCCCCUGAUACAACCUAGAAAAUCACAUGAAAAUCUUCUCGACGCUUGGUAGACCCGGUACUCUGGCAACCACCAAGCCUAAGAAGGGUGAGGUGGUCUUGGCGUCGCCCGAGGCGACUGUGAGCAAGUACAAGGGGGCUAUUAAGCAGCACAAGAAGGCGCUGAAGGAGCUGCACGCGUGCACCGAGCGCUUCACGCGCGCAUUGGCCGCCGUCGCCGCCUCCCUGCAGUUCUUGACCUCUGAUACCCAUAUUCCCGUCAUGGUCCAGUCCAGCGGCGCCCUCGCGAGUGGCAUCGAGGAGGUGCAGGAUGGUGUCCUUCUGCAGGACUUGAUGGAGGAGCUGGACUACUCGCUCUCCACCCGCUUCAAGCAGAUAGCAGAGGACCAGCGUGAGUUGAAAGAAAGUCGCGAGCGCAAAUCCAAGGCGGAGAAGACGCUGAUGCUGUUGAGGAGUCAGUGCGACAAGCUCCAGCUCAAGAAGGACGUGGAUGCCAAGAUGCAGGCGCUCUAUCUGACCAAGACGCAGAAGCGGGACGAACACGAGGUCGAGUGCACACGGCUGAGGGCCGAGUUCGAGGACGCUUUUCACGACUUCACGACGCGCUUCGGCAUCCUUGUAUACGAGGAUAUGAAGGGGCUGAUGGAGCACCUCCACCGGGUACUCUCCGCGCUGUCUUACCAAGUUCGCAAGUGCAAGGACAAUAUCCUUGCCCACCCCAUCACCCCCAAGCCGAUCGCGGAGAUGUCCUGAGGAGAAGGGGGGAAGAUGAUGUCAGUGGAGCGCCUCGAAUGGCUUCCUCCACCACUCCUGCUCUCUUUAUCGCGUGGGCGUGCCUUAUUUAUGGUGCAGAGUCUGCUCUGAUGACAGGAGGGGGGGAGGGGUAGCACACAACCAAAGAACAGUGCAUACACACACACACAGAACGCAUAUAUAUAUAUGUGUGUGUGUGUGUGCGUGUACAUAUAUGCACAUACGUACACGAAAGACGGAGCGACAGGCGAGACGGGUGUGCGUGCAUGUGCGUAUGUGCAUGUGUCCGUACGCCCGUGCGCAUGUGUGCGUGCGCUAUUCUAUCGGAGGGGAGUGGGGUGGGAGGAGGGGGAAGAGGGAGGGGGUUCGCAUGCCAUUGCAGUAAAGGACAUCAUCCAUUUGAUGGAAAAGGAAGCAGGAGAGAGGCAGAAAGCACGUGUGUGUGUGCGUGUCGGUGUGUGUGUGUGUGUAAGGGGGCACAUCAGGCGUACAUGUUGAACAGCAGAAGAAGCCACACGAAAACACAAAAUAUGGCGAGCCGCAAACGAAAGGAGAAGUACGCCGCUUCCCCUCCACCUCCUCACCCCCCUUCACCCCUUGCCGGAGAGCAUCUGCAGCAUAGAGCG